GACGAACGCUGGCGGCGUGCUUAACACAUGCAAGUCGAACGGUGAACCAGAGCUUGCUCUGGGGAUCAGUGGCGAACGGGUGAGUAACACGUGGGCAACCUGCCCCAGACUCUGGGAUAACCUCGGGAAACCGAUGCUAAUACCGGAUACGACCACUUCGGACAUCCGACGGUGGUGGAAAGUUUUCGGUCUGGGAUGGGCCCGCGGCCUAUCAGCUAGUUGGUGGGGUAAUGGCCUACCAAGGCGACGACGGGUAGCCGGCCUGAGAGGGCGACCGGCCACACUGGAACUGAGACACGGUCCAGACUCCUACGGGAGGCAGCAGUGGGGAAUAUUGCACAAUGGGCGAAAGCCUGAUGCAGCGACGCCGCGUGAGGGACGACGGCCUUCGGGUUGUAAACCUCUUUCAGCAGGGACGAAGCGAAAGUGACUGUACCUGCAGAAGAAGCACCGGCUAACUACGUG
This 465-nucleotide ribosomal RNA is filed under the name uncultured bacterium. Its description in RNAcentral is "bacterial SSU rRNA". It matches the Rfam family "Bacterial small subunit ribosomal RNA", at positions 28 to 507 of the family's 1533-position model. The record is from RNAcentral.